Molecule: ribosomal RNA, 639 nt
Filed under: uncultured marine eukaryote
Lineage: Eukaryota
Description: bacterial SSU rRNA
Rfam family: Eukaryotic small subunit ribosomal RNA
Source: RNAcentral
GCUGUUAAAAAGCUCGUAGUUGGAUCAAGAGUACAACGGUGCAAGGUGGCCUCGUUUGUGUCCGUGGCUCCGGUCGCUGGCACGGCGGCGGAUCAACCCCUUGCACUAAACCGUUGUCUCUAACAGGCCGAAGCGGUUCCCUGUGAGUAGGCCACUUCAUUGGGGCUGAAAGCGAUUACGCAUCUACCACAUGCAUACGGGACGUCGGCCAAUGUUACUGUGAACAAACCAGCGUGUCCAAAGCAGGCUUUCGCCUGAAUGUUCGAGCAUGGAAUAACAAGGGAUCGAUUCUCUCGGUUCUUUUUGUUGGUUUUUAACCCGAGAAGGAGUAAUUCAGGCCACGGUGUCUGGGCUGGGUUCCCCUAGGCUUCGGCUUAGGCCCCAGUUAGGCCGUGUUCUUACGGGAUAAAUAGGGACUGACGGGGUCGUACGUACUUCCACGUCAGAGGUGAAAUUCUUAGAUCGUGGGAAGACGAACUUCUGCGAAAGCAUUCGACAAGAAUGUCUUCAUUAAUCAAGAACGAGAGUGUGGGGAUCGAAGAUGAUCAGAUACCGUCGUAGUCCACACUGUAAACAAUGCCGUCUCAGGGUUGAGAAGUGAACAGAAUGACUUUCGCAGCACUAACCCCUGAAACGAGA